AGAGUUUGAUUCUGGCUCAGAACGAACGCUGGCAGCGUGGAUUAGGCAUGCAAGUCGAACGAGAUCUUUAAUGACCGAUUCUUCGGAAAAGUGAAUUUUAGUGAGAGUGGCGGAAGGGUGAGUUACGCGUGGGCAAUCUACCUUAGAGUUGGGGACAACAUCCCGAAAGGUUGCUAAUACCGAAUGAGGUAUUCCAACAUAAGUUGGGAUUACUAAAGAUGGGGAUUCUUCGGAACCUGUCGCUCUGAGAGGAGCCCGCGUGCUAUCAGCUUGUUGGUGAGGUAACGGCUCACCAAGGCUUACGGCUAGCUGGUCUGAGAGGAUGACCAGCCACACUGGGACUGAGACACUGCCCAGACUCCUACGGGAGGCUGCAGUCGAGGAUCAUUUGCAAUGCGCGAAAGCGUGACAAUGCGACGCUGCGUGGAGGAUGACGGCCUUAGGGUUGUAAACUCCUGUCAUUUGGGAAAAAUUGCACACUAGUUAAUACCUUAUGUGCUUGAUGGUACCAAAAGAGGAAGCCACGGCUAACUCUGUGCCAGCAGCCGCGGUAAUACAGAGGUGGCAAGCGUUGUUCGGAUUUACUGGGCGUAAAGAGUACGUAGGUGGUUUCGUGUGUCGGGUGUGAAAGCCCACGGCUCAACCGUGGAAUUGCAUUCGAAACUGCGAGACUAGAGUACAGGAGGGGAGAGCGGAAUUCUUGGUGUAGCGGUGAAACGUGUUGAUAUCAAGAAGAACACCGGUGGCGAAGGCGGCUCUCUGGAAUGUUACUGACACUGAGGUACGAAAGCUGGGGGAGCAAACAGGAUUAGAUACCCUGGUAGUCCCAGCUGUAAACGGUGCGCACUUGGUGUGGCGGGUACUGACCCCCGCCGUGCCGGAGCUAACGCGUUAAGUGCGCCGCCUGGGGAGUACGGCCGCAAGGCUAAAACUCAAAGAAAUUGACGGGGGCCCGCACAAGCGGAGGAGCAUGUGGCUUAAUUCGAUGCAACGCGAAGAACCUUACCAGAGCUUGACAUGGUGACCCUUCGGGGGUAGAGGUGAAAGUCUCUUUUACAAUCACAGGUGCUGCAUGGCUGUCGUCAGUUCGCGCCGUGAGGUGUUUGGUUAAGUCCAGCAACGAACGCAACCCUUGUGUCUAGUUGCCACUCCAGGUUUACCUGGAAGCACUCUAGACAGACUGCCCGUACAAGCGGGAGGAAGGUGGGGAUGACGUCAAGUCAGUAUGGCCCUUACGCCCUGGGCUGCACACGUGCUACAAUGGUCGGUACAGAAGGACGCAAUACCGUGAGGUGGAGCAAAUCCCCAAAACCGGCCCCAGUUCGGAUUGGAGUCUGCAACUCGACUCCAUGAAGUUGGAUUCGCUAGUAACGGCGUAUCAGCUACGACGCCGUGAAUACGUUCCCGGGCCUUGUACACACCGCCCGUCACAUCAUGAAAGCCGUCUGCACCCGAAGUCGCUGAGCUAACCUUUUAUUAGGAGGCAGGUGCCGAAGGUGUGGGUGGUGAUUGGGAU
This 1516-nucleotide ribosomal RNA is filed under the name metagenome. RNAcentral describes it as "bacterial SSU rRNA". It matches the Rfam family "Bacterial small subunit ribosomal RNA". The record is from RNAcentral.